UUUUUGAUACUUUUAGGGGAUAUACUGAUCUUUUUAAAUGGAGCUUCCAACGAAACAGAUUGCAUGCAGAUAUUCCAGUUACCAUAAUUUACUCAGCAAUUCUAGUUGGAAGUACAGAGACAGCAAAUUGAUUAACAGAAAGGAAAACAUGACAUGUAUCCUUUUGCAUAAAUAACCCAGGAUUCCCAGUGGCAGUGCAAUUUGAAUUGGUGCAUGUAUAUAUCCUGCUGGUAUUUAUUUUUGGG
This 245-nucleotide long non-coding RNA is filed under the name Mytilus galloprovincialis (Mediterranean mussel). The record is from RNAcentral. Lineage: Eukaryota; Metazoa; Mollusca; Bivalvia; Mytilida; Mytilidae.